AACGAACGCUGGCGGCAGGCCUAACACAUGCAAGUCGAACGGAUGUAGCAAUACAUUAGUGGCGCACGGGUGCGUAACACGUGGGAAUGUACCCCAGGGUAAGGAAUAAUGUCUGGAAACGGACACUAAUACCUUAUAAUGACUUUGGUCCAAAGAUUUAUCGCCCUGGGAUCAGCCCGCGCCUGAUUAGCUAGUUGGUGAGGUAAUGGCUCACCAAGGCUACGAUCAGUAGCUGGUCUGAGAGGAUGAUCAGCCACACUGGAACUGAGACGCGGCCCAGACUCCUACGGGAGGCAGCAGUGAGGAAUAUUGCACAAUGGAGGAAACUCUGAUGCAGCCAUGCCGCGUGAGUGAAGAAGGCCUUCGGGUUGUAAGGCUCUUUUAGUCGUGAAGAUAAUGACGGUAGCGACAGAAAAAGCCCCGGCUAAAUUCGUGCCAGCCGCCGCAGUAA
This 451-nucleotide ribosomal RNA is filed under the name uncultured bacterium. RNAcentral's name for it is "partial 16S ribosomal RNA". It matches the Rfam family "Bacterial small subunit ribosomal RNA", at positions 29 to 523 of the family's 1533-position model. The record is from RNAcentral.